AUCAGGUUUGAUGAAACCGUAACCUUUUUGGUUACUGAACCGAGACACAACCCCUGUCAAUCGAGUACCUUCGGCCGCCAUUGAUGAUUGAUGAGCUCAAAAUCGAUCAAACAAUCAAUAGAAAAAUAUUUGUGCCCUAAUUCUAUGGGAAUAGGGAGAAUUUAUAGGCUAAAUUGUUAAAAGCCUUAUUGAAUUAGGGCUUAUUGGAUCCCUUAUUUUAGUUAGGGUUUG
This 231-nucleotide unclassified non-coding RNA is filed under the name Hevea brasiliensis (rubber tree). The record is from RNAcentral. Lineage: Eukaryota; Viridiplantae; Streptophyta; Magnoliopsida; Malpighiales; Euphorbiaceae.